This 333-nucleotide ribosomal RNA is filed under the name uncultured bacterium. RNAcentral describes it as "bacterial SSU rRNA". It matches the Rfam family "Bacterial small subunit ribosomal RNA", at positions 568 to 898 of the family's 1533-position model. The record is from RNAcentral.
UGCGUAGGCGGUCCGGGAAGUUGGGUGUGAAAGCCCUCGGCUCAACCGAGGAACUGCGCCCAAAACUGCCGGGCUCGAGGGAGACAUAGGUGAGCGGAACUUAGGGUGGAGCGGUGAAAUGCGUUGAGAUCCUAAGGAACACCAGUAGCGAAAGCGGCUCACUGGGUCUCUUCUGACGCUGAGUGCACGAAAGCUAGGGGAGCGAAGAGGAUUAGAUACCCUCGUAGUCCUAGCCGUAAACGAUGAGCACUGAUUUGGAGGGUCCUCCAUAGCCUUCCAGAUGUAGCGAAAGUGUUAAGUGCUCCGCCUGGGGAGUAUGGUCGCAAGGCUGAA